AUGAACAAAAUUAAUUUUAGAUUUGGUAUUUAAUUAAUAUUAUAAUAUACAUAUAAAAGCUUUUAAUAUUAAAUUUUAAUUUUAAAUAAAUUAGUAAAUAGUUUUAUAUUAUUAGUAUAUAAAUUUUUAAUGAUUAAGAAAUUAAAAUAAAGUAAUAUUAAAAACAAUUAUUGAUAAAAAUUUGUGCCAGCAAUCGCGGUUAAACAAAAAAUAAUGGAAAUAUUUAUAAUGAAUAUGAAAUAAAUUAAAAAUUAACUAUUAAUUAAAAUUUUAAUUUAAAAGUAAAAUUUAUAAAUAAAAAAUAAUAAUUAAUGAAAUAUUUAUAAUGAAUUUAAAAAAUAUAUGAUUAAACUAGGAUUAGAUACCCUAUUAUAAUAGAUUAAAUUUAUUGAAUUUAAAUAGUAAGAAAUCUUAAAUUUAAGAAAGUUGGCAGUAUUUUAAUCAAUUUAGAGGAAUUUGUUUUAUAAUUGAUAUUACACGAUUUUAGAUACCUGAAUAUAUUUGUAUAUCGUUGUUUUUAGAGAUAUAUAUUAAAAGUAAAUAUGUUAAAUUUUAUUUUAAAAUUUAAAUCAAAUCAAGAUGCAGUAAUUUUUAGGAAAUUUAUGAAUUACAAUAAUUUAAAUUAAAAAUGGAUUUUAAAAUUUAAAGAUUUUAUGAAAGUGGAUUUAAAAGUAAUUAUAUUUAAAAUUUUUAUGGUGAUUUAAGUUUUAAAAUAUGUACAUAUUGCCCGUCACUUUUUAUAAGAUAAGAAGAAGUCUAAAUAUAUAAAAUUGUAUUUAAUUAAGUAUAUUAUUGGUAUAAAAAUAAGUCGUAACAAAGUAGAGGUACUGGAAAGUGUUUCUAGAAUUAAU
RNAcentral lists this non-coding RNA (851 nucleotides) under Dipseudopsis sp. XG-2021. The record is from RNAcentral. Lineage: Eukaryota; Metazoa; Arthropoda; Insecta; Trichoptera; Dipseudopsidae.